UACAGAGGUCCCAAGCGUUGUUCGGAUUCAUUGGGCGUAAAGGGUGCGUAGGUGGCGAGGUAAGUUGGAUGUGAAAUCCUGGGGCUCAACCCCAGAACUGCAUUCAAUACUGCCUUGCUAGAGUACUGGAGAGGAGAUUGGAAUUCAUGGUGUAGCGGUGAAAUGCGUAGAUAUCAUGAGGAAGACCAGUGGCGAAGGCGGAUCUCUGGACAGUUACUGACACUGAGGCACGAAGGCCAGGGGAGCAAGCGGG
RNAcentral lists this ribosomal RNA (253 nucleotides) under uncultured bacterium. Its description in RNAcentral is "partial 16S ribosomal RNA". It matches the Rfam family "Bacterial small subunit ribosomal RNA", at positions 524 to 776 of the family's 1533-position model. The record is from RNAcentral.